This 301-nucleotide ribosomal RNA is filed under the name uncultured bacterium. RNAcentral's name for it is "partial 16S ribosomal RNA". It matches the Rfam family "Bacterial small subunit ribosomal RNA", at positions 509 to 807 of the family's 1533-position model. The record is from RNAcentral.
CAGUCGCCGCGGUAAUACGUAGGGUGCAAGCGUUAAUCGGAAUUACUGGGCGUAAAGCGCACGCAGGCGGUUUGUUAAGUCAGAUGUGAAAUCCCCGAGCUUAACUUGGGGACUGCAUUUGAAACUGGCAAGCUAGAGUCUCGUAGAGGGGGGUAGAAUUCCAGGUGUAGCGGUGAAAUGCGUAGAGAUCUGGAGGAAUACCGGUGGCGAAGGCGGCCCCCUGGACAAAGACUGACGCUCAGGUGCGAAAGCGUGGGGAGCAAACAGGAUUAGAUACCCGUGUAGUCCCUGUCUCUUAUAC